Molecule: ribosomal RNA, 252 nt
Filed under: uncultured bacterium
Lineage: Bacteria
Description: partial 16S ribosomal RNA
Rfam family: Bacterial small subunit ribosomal RNA
Source: RNAcentral
UACGGGGGGGCAAGCGUUGUCCGGAAUUAUUGGGCGUAAAGAGCGCGUAGGCGGUCCGAUAAGUCGGCUGUGAAAGUCAGGGGCUCAACCCUUGAAAGCCGGCCGAUACUGUCGGACUAGAGUCCGGAAGAGGCAAGUGGAAUUCCCGGUGUAGCGGUGAAAUGCGCAGAUAUCAGGAGGAACACCUGUGGUGUAGACGGCUUACUGGACCAUGACUGACGCUGAGGCACGAAAGCGUGGGGAGCAAACAGG